UCAGUGAGUGCAUAUCAUGUGAGU
RNAcentral lists this non-coding RNA (24 nucleotides) under Mus musculus (house mouse). The record is from RNAcentral. Lineage: Eukaryota; Metazoa; Chordata; Mammalia; Rodentia; Muridae.